Molecule: long non-coding RNA, 1265 nt
Organism: Cornus florida
Lineage: Eukaryota; Viridiplantae; Streptophyta; Magnoliopsida; Cornales; Cornaceae
Exons: 2
Source: RefSeq, a predicted model, not a curated record
UAUAUGCUAUUUGCCAUUUGUGUUCAUUUUAGGGUUUGGAAAAAGGCGGCUUAAUGAAAAAAGGCGGCUUUUUUUUUUCAUCAAAGCUCUAGCUGCGCAAAAAUCCACUUCGCACACAUCGAUCCAUCAACCAAAAUCUUCGCGAGUUUCACCUUCACAGGAACAUAACCCAGGUACGUGUGUGUAUAUAUAUAUAUAUGUAUGUGUGUGUGUGUGGGGUUCAUCUCUGUUCUUCUCCGAUCUCAUCUCUGUUCUUCUCCUCUCUUCCUUGUCUGAGCUCUAACACAGGUUCCCCGCUAGUGCAAAUUGAUCUUUUGAUCAAAUUCACUAUCCGAUUCCUAAUAAAAAACAAAAAAAAUCACUAUCUUUCUUCCUCCUAAUCUCUCCCCAGUUUUCACCUCUUUUUAUCUCAAAAACCCUAGAUUUAUCUUUGUUAGAUGUGCCCUCGUCUAACAAGUUUGGUGCAAAAUCGGCCGGUCUGUUAACCUGAGCCCAAGAGGCACCUAUUGGUCUCGUUAGGUCUGAGGCUUUUCAUCUGAAUCUGCCCGGGUAGUCAGCCAAACCCAUCAACACCACCUUGAACCAUCAACAUCAUCCACUUAGCUUACCUUGCUGAUCCGUGUUUAAAUGCUAUCUCAUGAGGCGAAAGGAUGGGAUUGGGGCUCAAACUAGAUUACCCUUGUUCAGACUCCUUAAGAUACGAAGAAGCGAAGUGUUUAAAAGGAUCACAGCCAUCACAGAACAUGUUAUUUUCUCCAUCAACAAUAGAUUGAAGCCCUUAAAUCUCUGUAUCCAAGUGAAGCUGACAAGCAUUUGUUGUCUCAGCAGACUGGUUUGUCCAAAUAUCAGAUACUCAUUACCAGCUUUUUGCAUCAAAUUUGAUGUGUCAUAUUCAUAUUUAUGUGUGUGUGUAUAUAUAUAUACUGAUAAUUCUGAACUACUUUGUCUUUUUAUUUUAGCUUUUUUCUACUUUUGAUUUUGAAUUAUAUAAUAUUCGACUUGUUUUUUUAUUAACUCUAGGGGUUGUUGCUUCUUUGGGUACCUUGUGAAUGCAUCCCACGUUUCCUUUUGCAUGCACAUAGCCGUGAUAUAUAUAUAGUUGGUCAUGAAUGAAUGAGAGAGAUUAUUUUGUAUCUCUGAUAUGCAUAAUAAUAGUGAAAAUUGAAGAUAUUGAUUUGUUCUGUCUUGUUUUUUUAGAAGACACUCCUCAAGAAUUCUGAAAACCGAAUUAGACCAUUUUCUGGAAAUUGACUGUUUUUUUUUUU